CACUGUGGGCAACAUCAUCAUCAUAUACCAGUUGAUCAGGUGGUGGUGCAUAUAUAACGCCGUAACCUUUUCUCAUAUCUCAUAUACAUAUAUAUAUAUACACGCGUAUAUAACGCCGUCAGAGUCGUGGGUGAAUGAACAUGUAAAUGAAUGUAAUGCAUGAGAAGUAUGUUAAUAUAAUUUUUCAGAAUGUCAUAAGACCAUUAUACUAGUGCCGGCUCAACCCCCAGGCCACAAAAGAUACAUAAUAACACCAAAAUACUCGCUAAAUUCUUGUCACUAUAAUUCUUAUUAUAAACUGGAGUAAUAAAUAACUGGGGCUUCUCAUAAAGAACAUAAGAGAUUCAAAGAGUAGAAAAGUGAUCAAACAGGACUUAAAGAUCAUGGAGAAUUUUCUAGUUGAGAUUUUUUUUUAAUGAUAUUGAAGAUGUUAUAUAUGUUUCAAGCCUGGUUUCCGAUUUUAGUUUCACAUUUUGAAACCAACCAAUGUAGUGCUUUGUUUCCUGUUGACAUGCAGAUAUUCAAUCUCUAGACAAAUGAUGGUUGCUUGCUACGGAGAGUCAGUAUCAUAUUAGUCUAAAAAGGACAUAUUCAAGUUGUUUAGCAUUAUCCAACAUAAGACUAGAUUCAACUACACAAAAAAUAACAUUCAAAAUAAAAUCCUUUUGACAGCUUCUAUGUGGCAGGCUUGGGGACAAGAUAAACAGUUCAGUAGGACAAGAUCCUGAUGCAAAAAGCAUAAUGGUGUCCUUGAUAUAUAUGGCUUUGAGAGCUUCAAAAUCAACAGGUUUGGAUAAUUAUUUUUGCCAAUUUUGAGUAUAUAAAAUCUUUACCUCAAAAUUAAUAGCUCGUAACAUAAUUUACCUCAGUUUUGAGCAAUUCUGCAUCAACCUAACAAAUGAGAAUUUUAUUAAGUAAGUCUAACGCCUCAUGCUAAGAUUUGGCUUUAGGCCAUUUGUUAUAUUGAGCUGCCUCUGCAUUAUAUCUCUGAUUAAUAUCACGAAACAUAUUUUAUCACUCACUUCCUUUCCUCAUGCAGAAUAUAGAUUUAAAAUUCUAUAUAUAGAUGUCCCAUAAAUUUUCUCUUUUUUUUUUCAACACAAUUUUAGAACCAUGCAGAUAUUUUAAAAAGUUGGAUUCAAAAGAGAGUACUGUAAUAUAACUUCGCAUAAACAUAUUCAUUAUCUUAUGCAUCUCUCAUCUGGAACCUAAUAAAAUUUAUUUCAUAGUAUAGUUUAUAUUUGGACGACAGAAAGCUUUGAAUAAAAAAAAAUUGAUACAUAUGAAGCACUAGAGCAAGGUAAAGUUUACCUUAAGAACAUUACUGUCUUAAAAAAAAACCUUCCUCGUCUGAAUUGGAUUGACCGGCUAAUUUAUUAUUCCUCUUCUCCUCUUUGACUAAACCUCCAUUAACAGAUUUUCUGAAAGUAGCUUAUAAGAUAGAAUAUAACCAAAGAGACCACGUAAGUCUGCAUUUAAGAAACUAAACCUCCCUUUUCUAUGCUUUUGUUGCUGCUUUGCUUGGAAACGUACCCAUGUAGACUAGUCAUAGAUAGAGAUAGAAACAGGCAUACCAAUACAUAUAUUUACACAUACUCAUAUGUAUGUAAGAAGGGCAGUUGAUUAAAGCAAUAAGAAAUCACUAGCAUGUGGAAG
RNAcentral lists this long non-coding RNA (1656 nucleotides) under Nicotiana tabacum (common tobacco). RNAcentral's name for it is "long non-coding RNA (NTAB_LNC010534)". The record is from RNAcentral. Lineage: Eukaryota; Viridiplantae; Streptophyta; Magnoliopsida; Solanales; Solanaceae.